CUCCCACAUGACAGCAUUAUUCUAAUCUUAUUGCAGCUAGUGGAUGUUUCUACAGUUCAUAGUGUAAGCCUGAUGGCAGCAUUCAGGGAUGUGAAAGCAUCGCAAUCUGUGUUUGGCUACGUCCGAGACACUUGCAUCAGUAUUCUACUGCAGCCUUGUUGCUAAUUUCUGGCUCUAUUUCAGGCGGCAGCAAGCACGUCAACGGAAUCAACUGGAUUUGAUGUGGAGGUCAUGGCUGAAGCAAGUGCUGGGGACCCACUUCACGGCGCAUCUCACAAGGGGGUUGUCAUCCCCUGAUUCCAGGAAGAGGAAAACAAUGUACACAGACUUGCAUAGCGUAUUAGUACACCAGAUAUGGAUCUGCCAACAUGAACCCUUCUAACAUCCCUGUGGCAGCGUACCUGUAACCGCCCAGACUUCACACCACAUUAAUGUAGAACCACAGCACAACAUAAAAUAGCUUAGGUUUAUUUGCCUCCCAUACAUAAUGGGAGGCAAAUAAACCUAUGCUAUUUCGUUAUUCCCACUCCGUCAUACUCCACUGUACAAUAAAUCGAUACAAUUAUA
Ornithodoros turicata is the source of this 567-nucleotide long non-coding RNA. RefSeq lists it as uncharacterized. The transcript is spliced from 2 exons. NCBI's taxonomy places the organism in Eukaryota, Metazoa, Arthropoda, Arachnida, Ixodida, Argasidae. The record is from RefSeq and is a predicted model, not a curated record.